AGCUCAGUUUGCUCGGCCGCCUCCUGAGAAAGCUGACACCGGCUCAUCUACAUGCCAGCAGUGAUUGGCUGUUGAGCUCGGGGAGGGUGAGCGCUUUGAAAUAGACGGUUUUCAAGAUGUGAUGGCGCCCUCAUAUCAAACCGAGUCAAACAGAAGGACUGAUGAGGGGAGAAGAGCAGCGUUUUCUCUCCCAGCGUGUCUGGAAGAAGAUGUGAAGACAGUUCAAGUCACACAUCUCUCCUGAAUUAAAGCUUGUCAGCUCGUCACCGUGGUCUUUCCAGGGCCUCUACACACAGAGUGAAGGUUUAACGAGAUAAAUCGGACUGUUCACACGGUCAAAGAUGAGCUCAAUUCCAGAAGUCCUCUUGCGAAUGUUGGAUGAUUUAGAAGAAGAUUACGUUAACAGGUUCAAGUUCCAUUUGUCUCAUAUUGGGUUCUUUAAAGGAUGCAAUUCAAUCCCAGGGGGACAACUAAAGGAAUUGGACAAUCCGGGCUUAUCAAACCAGAUACACGACACCUACGGGGAAGAUGCUCUUGAACUCACUAAAAAGGUCUUUGAGACAAUGAAUAAGAAGCGUAUAUGGGAUAAACACACCAAAAACAUCUCAGAACCU
This is a long non-coding RNA of Salarias fasciatus (jewelled blenny), 614 nucleotides long. RefSeq lists it as uncharacterized. The record is from RefSeq and is a predicted model, not a curated record. Lineage: Eukaryota; Metazoa; Chordata; Actinopteri; Blenniiformes; Blenniidae. The transcript is spliced from 3 exons.